Long non-coding RNA from Strigops habroptila (Kakapo), 2565 nucleotides. RefSeq lists it as uncharacterized. NCBI's taxonomy places the organism in Eukaryota, Metazoa, Chordata, Aves, Psittaciformes, Psittacidae. The transcript is spliced from 9 exons. The record is from RefSeq and is a predicted model, not a curated record.
CUGGGAGCUGAAUAGCCAUCCGCUGAAUGGUGAUGAUGAUGCUAUGGAAGAAUUCGUAAUUCCUAUGCUAUCCAUUUUGCAGUAUGAAGGAAAUGGGUCACAAAUGCUCUGUUCUACUUCACUGCUGCUCCACAUCACAGCAUCAGUGACUGGUGCCAAGCUCCCUGAUCCCAGCACAGCAAAACUCCAUCUGGGUUGGAGUGCAGGGAGUUAAAAAGAGGACACCAGGAGACAACCUCUGCUUUGGAGUUGGUCCUCAAAGUAGGUCUUCUCAAGAUCUGUAUUUCCACUUGUACCACUCCAGCAUUGGCUUCAACAUUUCUGCUUCUAGGUCAGAAAUACCUGAAGCCAUGGAUUCUUGCUACGGUCCCAGGACAAAGGCCACAGAAGCAACACAAUAUUUGGAAUAGAGCUUGGGAAGUCAACUCUCCUGCCAAAAAGUAGGAUCAGCCACACCUGUCUCUGUGCGGAUAGAUGUUUGCUAAUAUAUGUUCUUUAAAACCGCUCAUGACUGAUGGAAAUUCCACAACCUCCUUGAAUAAUUCACGUCAGACUAUAGCUAUCUGAACUGUAGAAAAGAUUUGUCUAUCUUAAUAUCUAACACAGGAAAAGUUCAAAGAGAUUAACUGAUACAACCGAAGUCAACACUGCAAGUCCAUGAAGGAAAACCUGGGUGGAGUGAUCCAUUUCAAGCUUGUUUCAAGAUUUCAAACACUUUCUAAGGUCAAGUGGGUAUUGCUGGCCAAGCAUCAGUAGUUUAUUCGUUGCUUGAUUACAAGUGGAAUUGUAAAUGGAAUGAAAUAAGAUGGAUAUGGAGGAUUACCAACUGCUGUUGGCAUACUACUGCAUGCUUAAAGAUGUCUUCAUUCAUUAGCAGACUGUUUUAGCCUGCCAAGUUGGAAAUGAAAUGCAAGUCACAGCUUGUACAUUUAUCACUGUAAGGAAAGCAUCCUGCCAGUACUGGUUAGGCAAAGUGUACUCGUAGCCAUUAGUAGUCCAGUCUGAUUACUGGGCUCAAUCUGUUUCUAAUGGCAACCUUUGCAGUGACAGCAUUGUUUCCAUCUGUGCUCACAUGAGAAAUUUUAAAUCUUGGUGUUUAAAGUUCUUAAAUAACCUUACAGACACAAUUAUUUACUUUCUUAAGGAUUGUUCCAGCUGGUGUACAGCAACCUGGUAUAGGCAUAGGCAGGUGCAACAAGCAAACUGGCCCCUACCUUCUGCUUAGCAAGCCAAAUAUUAUUGUUAGCCAGUACUGCCUCCAAUUGCAACAGGUACUGUGACUUGGUAUCUUUGGUUUGUUCUCUUAAACGACCUGCAAUUCUCCUACCAAGCACUACAGUGAAUGACUGUGCUCCUUCUACUUCUGAGAGAAAGCUGAGAUCUAAUAAAAUUGAGACAGCAGCAAUGUCCGGAGAAGUUACAAGAGGAAAAUUCUGAGUGCUGAGGCUUAUGCCACCCUGGAGUUAACCUCUGCAUUAGAAGUCUGCAUUAGAAUUUCUAACCCAGACAAGUUAUUUAGCUUCUAUUAUGGUCAACAGAGGAAAACUUUCUUCAAGUAGAAAGCGGUUUCAUCUCGCCCACAUUACAGCACAGAAAAAUGUGGUCACAGCAGCAGUGAAGCAGAAGAGGAGGAUACAAUCCUAACAGGAAAGAGAUAUGACCAUCCACAGGAAGAAUGCACAGAAAAUGGCUGCAUUAUGAUAAUGGUGGUGUAUUGAUUUUACAGCAUCCUGCAAAAGAAUCUUAGCAAGAUUGUGAGGAGAAGGUUCUCAUAUGUGUUCUCCCUCCAACAUCAACUGUAUCAUUAGGUUUGAAAGGUAACUUCACAUGAACUAAUAAACAUUGUCUUUGUAUAAUUCUAAGCAUAAUGGAAAUACAAAAUGUGCUGCAAAAUUAAUGUAGAUGUAAUGAAACCACUGAAGAAGCUUGCUUUUGUGGUGUAUUAGGACAACAUAAGAGGUGCCAGUUGGCUUAUAUAGACAAGGCGAGGCAUGAUUUAGCCUGACUACUUCAGUUUAUCGGUAUUAAUGUAUGAAGAGCACUGUUUGUUGUGGGCAUUAGUUGUUGUCUCAUUUCACCUCGCGUUCUGAAUAAUAAAUGGUUAUGCAUGUUGCCUUCAAAAUAAUGUCAUAUAAAUUUUACAUAAUUUAGUUAUUAAGAUAAUAUGUGACAAUAUUUUUGUAACAGUAUCCUCCCCAUCACUCAACCGCUUCUGAAUGCUAAGGGCCAAUUAGAUGAUUUUUGCCUCUGAGAUCUGGUAAUCACUUGUUGACAGAUAUUAAAUGAUUCAUCUAAACACAUUCAACUGUUUUCUCCCAUGACAGAAAUAUCAUUUUUCCUUUUCUUUUUUUCUUUUUUUGAAUGAAUGUAGUGGUUGGGUAAUUAAAGCUCAAGAAGUUUAGAGCACCCAACAUCUGAAUUGCACUACACUUCAAAACUAUGAGCACUUAAUUUAUAGUGCACUUUUAAAAUUAAUUGCAAGCCCUACCAUCGAAGUAGCAUUAUUCUCCAUUAGGAGAACAUUUUGCUCUCCAGUUGCUUUAUGCUGCAGCCACCUCUGCAGAA